UUAAGCGACUAAGCGUACACGGUGGAUGCCCUGGCAGUCAGAGGCGAUGAAGGACGUGCUAAUCUGCGAUAAGCGUCGGUAAGGUGAUAUGAACCGUUAUAACCGGCGAUUUCCGAAUGGGGAAACCCAGUGUGUUUCGACACACUAUCAUUAACUGAAUCCAUAGGUUAAUGAGGCGAACCGGGGGAACUGAAACAUCUAAGUACCCCGAGGAAAAGAAAUCAACCGAGAUUCCCCCAGUAGCGGCGAGCGAACGGGGAGCAGCCCAGAGCCUGAAUCAGUAUGUGUGUUAGUGGAAGCGUCUGGAAAGGCGCGCGAUACAGGGUGACAGCCCCGUACACAAAAAUGCACAUAUUGUGAGCUCGAUGAGUAGGGCGGGACACGUGGUAUCCUGUCUGAAUAUGGGGGGACCAUCCUCCAAGGCUAAAUACUCCUGACUGACCGAUAGUGAACCAGUACCGUGAGGGAAAGGCGAAAAGAACCCCGGCGAGGGGAGUGAAAAAGAACCUGAAACCGUGUACGUACAAGCAGUGGGAGCACGCUUAGGCGUGUGACUGCGUACCUUUUGUAUAAUGGGUCAGCGACUUAUAUUCUGUAGCAAGGUUAACCGAAUAGGGGAGCCGAAGGGAAACCGAGUCUUAACUGGGCGUUAAGUUGCAGGGUAUAGACCCGAAACCCGGUGAUCUAGCCAUGGGCAGGUUGAAGGUUGGGUAACACUAACUGGAGGACCGAACCGACUAAUGUUGAAAAAUUAGCGGAUGACUUGUGGCUGGGGGUGAAAGGCCAAUCAAACCGGGAGAUAGCUGGUUCUCCCCGAAAGCUAUUUAGGUAGCGCCUCGUGAAUUCAUCUCCGGGGGUAGAGCACUGUUUCGGCAAGGGGGUCAUCCCGACUUACCAACCCGAUGCAAACUGCGAAUACCGGAGAAUGUUAUCACGGGAGACACACGGCGGGUGCUAACGUCCGUCGUGAAGAGGGAAACAACCCAGACCGCCAGCUAAGGUCCCAAAGUCAUGGUUAAGUGGGAAACGAUGUGGGAAGGCCCAGACAGCCAGGAUGUUGGCUUAGAAGCAGCCAUCAUUUAAAGAAAGCGUAAUAGCUCACUGGUCGAGUCGGCCUGCGCGGAAGAUGUAACGGGGCUAAACCAUGCACCGAAGCUGCGGCAGCGACGCUGAUGCGUUGUUGGGUAGGGGAGCGUUCUGUAAGCCUGCGAAGGUGUGCUGUGAGGCAUGCUGGAGGUAUCAGAAGUGCGAAUGCUGACAUAAGUAACGAUAAAGCGGGUGAAAAGCCCGCUCGCUGGAAGACCAAGGGUUCCUGUCCAACGUUAAUCGGGGCAGGGUGAGUCGACCCCUAAGGCGAGGCCGAAAGGCGUAGUCGAUGGGAAACAGGUUAAUAUUCCUGUACUUGGUGUUACUGCGAAGGGGGGACGGAGAAGGCUAUGUUGGCCGGGCGACGGUUGUCCCGGUUUAAGCGUGUAGGCUGGUUUUCCAGGCAAAUCCGGAAAAUCAAGGCUGAGGCGUGAUGACGAGGCACUACGGUGCUGAAGCAACAAAUGCCCUGCUUCCAGGAAAAGCCUCUAAGCAUCAGGUAACAUCAAAUCGUACCCCAAACCGACACAGGUGGUCAGGUAGAGAAUACCAAGGCGCUUGAGAGAACUCGGGUGAAGGAACUAGGCAAAAUGGUGCCGUAACUUCGGGAGAAGGCACGCUGAUAUGUAGGUGAAGUCCCUUGCGGAUGGAGCUGAAAUCAGUCGAAGAUACCAGCUGGCUGCAACUGUUUAUUAAAAACACAGCACUGUGCAAACACGAAAGUGGACGUAUACGGUGUGACGCCUGCCCGGUGCCGGAAGGUUAAUUGAUGGGGUCAGCGCAAGCGAAGCUCUUGAUCGAAGCCCCGGUAAACGGCGGCCGUAACUAUAACGGUCCUAAGGUAGCGAAAUUCCUUGUCGGGUAAGUUCCGACCUGCACGAAUGGCGUAAUGAUGGCCAGGCUGUCUCCACCCGAGACUCAGUGAAAUUGAACUCGCUGUGAAGAUGCAGUGUACCCGCGGCAAGACGGAAAGACCCCGUGAACCUUUACUAUAGCUUGACACUGAACAUUGAGCCUUGAUGUGUAGGAUAGGUGGGAGGCUUUGAAGUGUGGACGCCAGUCUGCAUGGAGCCGACCUUGAAAUACCACCCUUUAAUGUUUGAUGUUCUAACGUUGACCCGUAAUCCGGGUUGCGGACAGUGUCUGGUGGGUAGUUUGACUGGGGCGGUCUCCUCCUAAAGAGUAACGGAGGAGCACGAAGGUUGGCUAAUCCUGGUCGGACAUCAGGAGGUUAGUGCAAUGGCAUAAGCCAGCUUGACUGCGAGCGUGACGGCGCGAGCAGGUGCGAAAGCAGGUCAUAGUGAUCCGGUGGUUCUGAAUGGAAGGGCCAUCGCUCAACGGAUAAAAGGUACUCCGGGGAUAACAGGCUGAUACCGCCCAAGAGUUCAUAUCGACGGCGGUGUUUGGCACCUCGAUGUCGGCUCAUCACAUCCUGGGGCUGAAGUAGGUCCCAAGGGUAUGGCUGUUCGCCAUUUAAAGUGGUACGCGAGCUGGGUUUAGAACGUCGUGAGACAGUUCGGUCCCUAUCUGCCGUGGGCGCUGGAGAACUGAGGGGGGCUGCUCCUAGUACGAGAGGACCGGAGUGGACGCAUCACUGGUGUUCGGGUUGUCAUGCCAAUGGCACUGCCCGGUAGCUAAAUGCGGAAGAGAUAAGUGCUGAAAGCAUCUAAGCACGAAACUUGCCCCGAGAUGAGUUCUCCCUGACCCUUUAAGGGUCCUGAAGGAACGUUGAAGACGACGACGUUGAUAGGCCGGGUGUGUAAGCGCAGCGAUGCGUUGAGCUAACCGGUACUAAUGAACCGUGAGGCUUAACCUU
This 2902-nucleotide ribosomal RNA is filed under the name Escherichia coli. RNAcentral's name for it is "bacterial LSU rRNA". It matches the Rfam family "Bacterial large subunit ribosomal RNA". Lineage: Bacteria; Pseudomonadati; Pseudomonadota; Gammaproteobacteria; Enterobacterales; Enterobacteriaceae. The record is from RNAcentral.